GAAGCGCAUUCGGGAUUUCCGUGUUUACGUUAUGAAACCGUGUGCAGGCUCUAAAAUGUUGACGGCGGCGACUCGAAGUCGUUUUACGCGAGAGCAAACAAGAAUAUUAUUGCGUGAAGUCCAUGCACGGCGAUAUUCUAUUUAUGGUACACCGACAAAACCGUUCAGAGUUUCCAAUGCUCGGUCAGCCUGGGAGCAAGUAGCAGAGCGAGUGAGCGCCACUACCGUUGGGCUUCAGAAAACAGCCAACCAGUGCAGGAAGCGAAUUAAUGAUCUUAAACGGAGACAAGGAAUAAGAAUAUUUGAAAACAGAUUGCCAAAACCAGUCUCUAACCUUACAGACAACAACUCUAUUUCCUCAAUUAAAAUUGAGCAUGCAGAGCAUCAAAUUGGAGAUGGCCUUGAUAUCAAAGCAGAGACAGCUGGUCCAUCCCAGGCUGGAACACCACAACAUCUUCCCCAACCUGAUCCAACCCAGGCCUCUUCAUUCCAAGCCCCUCAGGUCAGCUCACCGCAGAUGAACCAAUCUCAGGGACUGGGUCAGGGACAGCUCCUCAGAGCUCACAUCCCGCUGAUAAACUUCCAGCCCCUUAUCCACGUCCAGCCCGCUUCCCAGGAUUUCACAGUCCUCUGCCAGGUGCACCAGGCGGGCUACGCCAUGCUACACAAGGAGAUCAUGGACACUAAAAACCGUAUGGAGGAAAUGCUGCAUCCUGUGUUGUCCUCCAUCAGCCACAGCCUGGAGAGACUUGCUAGUGCUGUUGAAAGGCUGUCCGAUCCUAGGGAGUCACCACUACAGACUGUCACUCCCAUCACAAUGCCUCUCCAACACAGACUGAAUGGACCGUCAUACACUGAUUCCACAGGAGUACAUCCUUUGUGAUGUUUGCUGGUUUCUUGCAAUGUUGACGACUGUUUACUUCUGUUUUAACAAUACAAUUUCCUACAAGUAUUUCAAGAAAAAAAAUAUAAAAAAUCAUUAACCAAAAAAUAUGAACUAUGGUAUGCUAUCGAAUGUAUGGUGUGUUCGUUGUUGCAUGUAUUUAUUAGAAUGCUUUCAUAAGAGUGAUUAAAUGUAGUCUAUAUAAUUCAAUCAAACCUGCUGUAUUCACACAGUAGCGUUUUCCAAAUGCAUUGACUGGUUUUACUGUAGCCUAUAAAAACCUACAAUUAUUUAGCCUACUAGACAGUAGACCCCUCAAAGGGAGACUUUGCUUUCACUUUUCAGAAGGAGAAGUGUAUGUGUGUGGGGUAAAGUUUGUAAAUCUGUAGAGAAUUGCUUAUGGUUUUGGAAGGCAAUGUGCAGACCAUGAUUUAAUGAUGAAAUCUUUCAAUCUGUUUCUAAAUGUUUUUUGGGGAAUAAAUAUGCUGUGAACCACAGUAUCAUAAAUGUAA
Long non-coding RNA from Oncorhynchus tshawytscha (Chinook salmon), 1395 nucleotides. RefSeq lists it as uncharacterized. Lineage: Eukaryota; Metazoa; Chordata; Actinopteri; Salmoniformes; Salmonidae. The transcript is spliced from 2 exons. The record is from RefSeq and is a predicted model, not a curated record.